RNAcentral lists this ribosomal RNA (509 nucleotides) under uncultured bacterium. RNAcentral describes it as "partial 16S ribosomal RNA". It matches the Rfam family "Bacterial small subunit ribosomal RNA", at positions 28 to 523 of the family's 1533-position model. The record is from RNAcentral.
GACGAACGCUGGCGGCAUGCCUAAUACAUGCAAGUCGAGCGAACAGAUGAAGUGCUUGCACUUCUGACGUUAGCGGCGAACGGGUGAGUAACACGUAAGGAAUCUACCUAUAAGCGGGGGAUAACAUUCGGGAACGGGUGCUAAUACCGCAUAAUAUCUUCUUCCGCAUGGAAGGAGAUUGAAAGACGGCUCUGCUGUCACUUAUAGAUGACCUUGCGGUGCAUUAGUUGGUGGGGUAACGGCCUACCAAGACGAUGAUGCAUAGCCGACCUGAGAGGGUGAUCGGCCACAUUGGGACUGAGACACGGCCCAAACUCCUACGGGAGGCAGCAGUAGGGAAUCUUCCGCAAUGGGCGAAAGCCUGACGGAGCAAUGCCGCGUGAGUGAAGAAGGCCUUCGGGUCGUAAAACUCUGUUAUAAGAGAAGAACAAAUUGUAGAGUAACUGCUACAGUCUUGACGGUAUCUUAUCAGAAAGCCACGGCUAACUACGUGCCAGCAGCCGCCGUAA